Molecule: ribosomal RNA, 769 nt
Filed under: Cronobacter sakazakii
Lineage: Bacteria; Pseudomonadati; Pseudomonadota; Gammaproteobacteria; Enterobacterales; Enterobacteriaceae
Description: partial 23S ribosomal RNA
Rfam family: Bacterial large subunit ribosomal RNA
Source: RNAcentral
AGACCCGAAACCCGGUGAUCUAGCCAUGGGCAGGUUGAAGGUUGGGUAACACUAACUGGAGGACCGAACCGACUAAUGUUGAAAAAUUAGCGGAUGACCUGUGGCUGGGGGUGAAAGGCCAAUCAAACCGGGAGAUAGCUGGUUCUCCCCGAAAGCUAUUUAGGUAGCGCCUCGUGAACUCAUCUCCGGGGGUAGAGCACUGUUUCGGCUAGGGGGCCAUCCCGGCUUACCAACCCGAUGCAAACUGCGAAUACCGGAGAAUGUUAUCACGGGAGACACACGGCGGGUGCUAACGUCCGUCGUGAAGAGGGAAACAACCCAGACCGCCAGCUAAGGUCCCAAAGUCAUGGUUAAGUGGGAAACGAUGUGGGAAGGCCCAGACAGCCAGGAUGUUGGCUUAGAAGCAGCCAUCAUUUAAAGAAAGCGUAAUAGCUCACUGGUCGAGUCGGCCUGCGCGGAAGAUGUAACGGGGCUAAACCAUGCACCGAAGCUGCGGCAGCGACGCUUAUGCGUUGUUGGGUAGGGGAGCGUUCUGUAAGCCUGCGAAGGUGUGCUGUGAGGCAUGCUGGAGGUAUCAGAAGUGCGAAUGCUGACAUAAGUAACGAUAAAGCGGGUGAAAAGCCCGCUCGCCGGAAGACCAAGGGUUCCUGUCCAACGUUAAUCGGGGCAGGGUGAGUCGACCCCUAAGGCGAGGCCGAAAGGCGUAGUCGAUGGGAAACAGGUUAAUAUUCCUGUACUUGGUGUUACUGCGAAGGGGGGACGGAGAAGG